CCUACGGGAGGCAGCAGUGGGGAAUCUUGCGCAAUGGGCGAAAGCCUGACGCAGCCAUGCCGCGUGAAUGAUGAAGGUCUUAGGAUUGUAAAAUUCUUUCACCGGGGACGAUAAUGACGGUACCCGGAGAAGAAGCCCCGGCUAACUUCGUGCCAGCAGCCGCGGUAAUACGAAGGGGGCUAGCGUUGCUCGGAAUUACUGGGCGUAAAGGGAGCGUAGGCGGAUAGUUUAGUCAGAGGUGAAAGCCCAGGGCUCAACCUUGGAAUUGCCUUUGAUACUGGCUAUCUUGAGUGUGGGAGAGGUAUGUGGAACUCCGAGUGUAGAGGUGAAAUUCGUAGAUAUUCGGAAGAACACCAGUGGCGAAGGCGACAUACUGGCCCAUUACUGACGCUGAGGCUCGAAAGCGUGGGGAGCAAACAGGAUUAGAUACCCUGGUAGUCCACGCUGUAAACGAUGAGUGCUAGUUGUCGGCAUGCAUGCAUGUCGGUGACGCAGCUAACGCAUUAAGCACUCCGCCUGGGGAGUACGGUCGCAAGAUUAAAACUCAAAUGAAUUAGACGG
Molecule: ribosomal RNA, 561 nt
Filed under: uncultured bacterium
Lineage: Bacteria
Description: bacterial SSU rRNA
Rfam family: Bacterial small subunit ribosomal RNA
Source: RNAcentral